GAUCAGAUCCUAAUACCUUAUGCGGGUCAAACUACACCACUGUCGAUGAUCAUAGAUCUGAAUGGUUCCUCUAGCCAUGCAUGUGCUUAGCCUCCACAGGUAUCCACAUGAGGAUUCCUUCCAAUCAAAGGUGAGAUAAUCUUUCUGGGGUGCUAGCUCUCUUGUAAAGGUCUUCUUUUUGAUGGCUGAUCUGGUUCUCUCUCAGAUCUCACAAACUCUCUUGAGAACUAAGAAAAAUAAGAAGAAGAGA
Molecule: long non-coding RNA, 250 nt
Filed under: Elaeis guineensis (African oil palm)
Lineage: Eukaryota; Viridiplantae; Streptophyta; Magnoliopsida; Arecales; Arecaceae
Description: long non-coding RNA (EGUI_LNC049858)
Source: RNAcentral